UACAGAGGGUGCUAGCGUUAAUCGGAAUUACUGGGCGUAAAGCGUGUGUAGGUGGUUAGAUAAGUUAGAUGUGAAAUCCCCGGGCUUAACCUGGGCAUUGCGUUUAAGACUGUUUAGCUUGAGUACUGUAGAGGAUAGUGGAAUUUCCAGUGUAGCGGUGAAAUGCGUAGAUAUCGGGAGGAACACCAAUGGCGAAGGCAGCUCGCUGGGACGGUACUGACGCUGAGACGCGAAAGCGUGGGGAGCAAACAGG
RNAcentral lists this ribosomal RNA (253 nucleotides) under uncultured bacterium. RNAcentral's name for it is "partial 16S ribosomal RNA". It matches the Rfam family "Bacterial small subunit ribosomal RNA", at positions 524 to 776 of the family's 1533-position model. The record is from RNAcentral.